GGCGGCGACGUUGCUUGAAUUACCUAAGAGGGAUUCUACAGAUUCCUUUGCUCGGCCCUUUAAAGAAUCUCUCAGGCGCAUUAUGUUGUGCCUGUAAAAAUAGGUAAUGGAUAAAUUUUCUUCUGAGGCAAAUGUAAUGAAUUUUGUGAGUGUGAACUGUGGACAGACAUAUGUGAGGUUAUGGAUGAUCCUGGUGGCGGUUGGUGAUACGAUGUGCGGUCUGGUGAAUUUAAUGGCUCUUGCGUCUCACUUGUUGGCAAAUGUGAAGAUGGUGGGUUAUGACUUACGUGCAGCUGCGGUGUUUGGCUUUGUGUUUGCUGUAAUAGUGAUAUCAAAGAAGGCAUUGCAGACAGUGAUUGUAAAUUGGCGAAUUGUUCUUGCAUUUGUUUGGCGGUAUUUUGCAUUUGUUGUGUCGAAGCAAGAAUCUCUGUCUGCAUUGCCUGCAUUUGACGUUGCAUUUGCUGCAUUUGUGCAUUUACGUGUUUCUUCAAUUCAAUAAUUUCAUUUGCAGGUUUUGGAACUGAGGCUUGCGAAUUGACUGGUGUCUUUUGAUGCUGUGAAGAAGAAGAAGAAUUAACAUUAUUGAGGUUGGCUGGAGGUGUACUGGUCGAAGCGGCAUUUAAGGGUUCGUUUUGAGGGUUGUGAGACGGCGUUUUUGCUUUCGGCGAAUGGGUAAGCGACAUAUCGUAUAUCUCAGAAUCAAAACGGGCUGGAGGAAUUCCUUGGGUGCUUCGGCCACUGGUUCUUUUCUUCGUCUGAUUGUCGGACAUAAAAACAGCAAAGACGUUACACUUUCGACGAUUUCACAAACAAAUGAAUAAAUAAAGAAUAAAGAUGUUCCUUUGUCACCGAUCCAGAAUAAACUUCACUCACAACCGGCAGAUUCCAAAUAAAAACACAAGGCUUAAAUUCCGUUUGGCAAAUUAAAAGAUUUUAUUUGAUGGUUAAUGAGUGAUCGUUGUUGUUAACAAUGCCGUUGAUGUUGUUAACAUAGGGGUUGUUUAUUCUCUUUGAGCAAAUAUUAAAUAGAAAGAAAAACAGGUUAUAAUAAACAUUUUAAAAUGAAUUUAACACAAUAAAAUUAUAAAAACUUAAACUUUAUACAAAGCA
Molecule: long non-coding RNA, 1110 nt
Organism: Stomoxys calcitrans (stable fly)
Lineage: Eukaryota; Metazoa; Arthropoda; Insecta; Diptera; Muscidae
Exons: 2
Source: RefSeq, a predicted model, not a curated record